Molecule: microRNA precursor, 210 nt
Organism: Oryza sativa Indica Group (long-grained rice)
Lineage: Eukaryota; Viridiplantae; Streptophyta; Magnoliopsida; Poales; Poaceae
Rfam family: MIR812 microRNA precursor family
Source: Rfam
AAUAAGUGCAGUUUUGCACUAUUCACGUUCAACGUUUAACCGUUCGUCUUAUUUAAAACUUUUUUAUGAUUAGUAUUUUUAUUGCUAUUAGAUGAUAAAACAUAAAUAGUACUUUAUGUGUGACUAAAUAUUUUCAUUUUUUUCAUAAUUUUUUCAAAUAAGACGGACGGUCAAAUGUUGGGCACGGAUAUAUCCACGGCUACACUUAUU